UUCGUCAUGGCGGCUGGGCCCGGGCCUGGCUAGGGAUCCGGGAUCAGCGGUGGGAGCCGAAGGCGGGGGGAACCCAGCUCUCGCUGGACACUUCCCGAUCCCGGCCGCAGCGACUGGUCUUCUAUGCACAAGGAAUGUGCCAGCCUUUGGGAACUCAGAGAAGAAAGAUACACGCUCUGUUCCUAAUAAGUUUAAGAUUUAGUGGACAAGGUGCUUGAUAAAUACUUGUUUCGUGAAUGAUGGAUCGUGACCUUGUGGAGCUAGGAUGUGGAGUUCACGAAGGAGAACAGCAGGUUAGGCUGAAAGGUUCGGGUGGCCUCUCAUCCUCCCUCGGUCAUCUGCCUGUGAAAGCGAGCUUUUUCAAAAGGGCCUGUGAUGCUUCUGCUUCCAGACCACCCGGGAACUCUGGCAGUUGGAAGAGAGCAGACAAGGCCUUUCACACUCUAACGGCAGCUUCACCGCAGACUCACUCUGCACCCCAGCCCAACAGCCCUGCCUCUGGCAAGCCACACGGAACGCCUUGUGGAAGCACGCCCUGACUUUUCACUCUCUGCACUUUUUUCUGCUCUUCUUAUUACACUGCGAUUUUUUUCCCCUUUAUAUCUUGGAUCUCCAGUUCAGAAGAUUGAACUAUUCACACUGCACAGUUCAUGACAUACUGUGAUAGUUGGCACCUCCAAAGUCCUCCACGUGUCCUUUGUCUCUCUGCAUUACCUUCGUCCCUCCUCCCAUUUCUCUUACCCCGCCACCUUACUAGUAUAUUUAAAUGUUAUGCUUUUUUAUGUCACUCUAAAAUAUGUAUUUGUGUGUGUGUAUGUUUAAUUUACAUAAAUGGUAUUGUGUUA
Long non-coding RNA from Phyllostomus discolor (pale spear-nosed bat), 845 nucleotides. RefSeq lists it as uncharacterized. The record is from RefSeq and is a predicted model, not a curated record. Lineage: Eukaryota; Metazoa; Chordata; Mammalia; Chiroptera; Phyllostomidae. The transcript is spliced from 4 exons.